This 527-nucleotide ribosomal RNA is filed under the name Pseudomonas sp. RNAcentral's name for it is "bacterial SSU rRNA". It matches the Rfam family "Bacterial small subunit ribosomal RNA", at positions 60 to 583 of the family's 1533-position model. The record is from RNAcentral. Lineage: Bacteria; Pseudomonadati; Pseudomonadota; Gammaproteobacteria; Pseudomonadales; Pseudomonadaceae.
AGUCGAGCGGAUGAGGGAGCUUGCUCCUGGAUUCAGCGGCGGACGGGUGAGUAAUGCCUAGGAAUCUGCCUGGUAGUGGGGGACAACGUUUCGAAAGGAACGCUAAUACCGCAUACGUCCUACGGGAGAAAGCAGGGGACCUUCGGGCCUUGCGCUAUCAGAUGAGCCUAGGUCGGAUUAGCUAGUUGGUGAGGUAAUGGCUCACCAAGGCGACGAUCCGUAACUGGUCUGAGAGGAUGAUCAGUCACACUGGAACUGAGACACGGUCCAGACUCCUACGGGAGGCAGCAGUGGGGAAUAUUGGACAAUGGGCGAAAGCCUGAUCCAGCCAUGCCGCGUGUGUGAAGAAGGUCUUCGGAUUGUAAAGCACUUUAAGUUGGGAGGAAGGGUUGUAGAUUAAUACUCUGCAAUUUUGACGUUACCGACAGAAUAAGCACCGGCUAACUCUGUGCCAGCAGCCGCGGUAAUACAGAGGGUGCAAGCGUUAAUCGGAAUUACUGGGCGUAAAGCGCGCGUAGGUGGUUCGU